Molecule: long non-coding RNA, 2370 nt
Organism: Episyrphus balteatus (marmalade hoverfly)
Lineage: Eukaryota; Metazoa; Arthropoda; Insecta; Diptera; Syrphidae
Exons: 8
Source: RefSeq, a predicted model, not a curated record
UAGUAUUCUGACAUCUAGGUUUUGUGACUUUUGAUUGUCAAAAAAAAAAAAAAAGAAUUUAAUUAUUUGCAGAAAUUGUCAAAGGAAUUUUGUUUCCCAAGAAUAAAAAGACGAUCUAUCAUCGGCAAUCUCUCUUAUAAAUAAAUAUUUUUCCAAAUUGCCCAUUGAUACAUCGACCAAACUAACUCCAUUACCGAGAUGUGCAGAAACAAAGCGUUGCGACAAAGUUAUGUAUCAAUAUACACUUCGUUUGCCUAUAAAUUCGUCUUUAAAAUAUGACAUAGUGGGAUUACCAAUGCCAACUGAAAUCCUUGCAAGACUAAUGGUAGCCCUUCAGGCAUAUCGAGAGUUGCAUAAAUGUGUGGAGAACUGGACAACACCUUGCAACCAAUUAGGAAAGAAGGAUUUAAAGCAUUCGAGUCUGAUUGGGAGGAGUUGGAAUUAGAAAAAAUUGACGAGUAAGUUUUUACAUAUAACGCAGGAUCAUGGCCUGGUGUAUAACCAAACGUCGCCAAUAUUAUUACAAACGAAUUGCAUCAGAGUUUUACAAUUGUCGACCUACUGCUGGUGCUGUAUCCUAUUUGUACAUUCCUGAAGAACAAAAUACUGCUAGUUGAUUCUCGUUUCCAUACAAAAUUUUUGAAAAUGUGGUUCAAUGAUUACUAGCGCCUGUGGAAGAAAGUGGUAAAUAGAACUCAGUUAGCGUAGCGACAUCUUCCGUCAGAUUGCUUGAAGUACCAUUUUUGUGCAUAGAAACUAUGGCCAUCUACAUUUUUUGGCUAUAAAAAUCAGUAGCACCUGUCUUUUUUGAAGUCUACUUUUUGACGUUUUGGAAGAAAAGAAUUCUUUCAGAAAAAAAGUAUUUUAAAAUGUUUGUGCGAAACAAAAUAUCGGGGUAAAAUAAUUGAAUCGUGUUGGAAAAAGUUAUUAAAAAUUAUAAUUAAAUCAUUAAAAAAAAAUUAAGUGUUCUUUUAUCAAUAAUUUUCUGUUUUUUUUUUCAAAUGCAAUCGUGGAAUCGUGUUGGAUGGAAGGAGGGCCAAAUGCUCCCGCAAACUAGAUACAUGCCUCCAUUUAUAUCAAUAGAAAGUCUAGUAAGUGCCACGAUUCAUCAACAACAGCAUCCGAAACAGCAUUAUCACACCAAAAUCAACAAUAACAGCUUAAGCACCAAUUACAACAGCUGAAUCCCGAUAUGAUCCGCCAGUCCUUUUUUUUUUUUAAUCCCAGCUGCAGAAAUCAAUGCGAGGACGAGCUUAAGAUACCAAUUUAUAACAUGGAACCAAUCGACAAAAUAAGCCUCCUCAAACGAGACAAAUGCCAGAACAGCCAGGACAACAAAUGUCUGGAACGGGAUAUAACGCAAAAUUAAGUUCAUAUGGAAUACUUCCAAUAUCUUGGUCAUACUGGCCAACGUGUGGAUAAAUGCAAAAGACCUGCAUAGGUACAAGGUACUAGGAAUAUAUAAAUUCGUUGCAAAUAAAGAUUAUUGCCCAGUAAAUGAUGGUUGUUGGUGAUGUUAAUGAAAUGUUCAUGCCCUUAUUCGAUGGUGUCCUUGUCGAUCCAGAAAAAUAUGUAGCUGGAACAAACUCCUAAUAUGUUUUUUGACAAAAGGAAAAGAAUCAUAUCUUUUGCCAGCCACACAAGCUGGUCUAAAAGCACUCAAAGCAUCAAAUUGUGCUGAAAAGCUGCUCGUAUUCAAUUCAUUGUUGCUGAUAAUGUGAAGAUUCUGAAAAACUUCAUAAUCGUGACGAUCUUAAACGAAACAGGGAAAGAGAAAACUGACUAGAGUGUGCUCAGUAGAUUUGUUUAUAUAUUCAUAUGUGGAUAUUGCUUCAAUUUGGCGAGUUCAAGGUUAACAGGAGGAGAAGUCUAUAAAUACACAAUUUUCCAGAUCUGUUGGGGUUGAAUUUUAAAAAUUUCCCUGAGAGAUGAUCCACAGUCGCGGGCAGUUACGGAGUUUGUGGAAACAGAACCUAACAAUUCUGAACCUCAAUUCUUUGAAUGAAAAUCGAAGAAGUAGCUCCAGCACAAGAACUACACCAAGCUUAAAUCGGAGAAUGUAAGGAAAAUCAAUACCUCAUAGCAGAUUUUUACGUAACACUCAACACUUUGUGUCGUAUACCAACUGUGUCCUAAAAUUGUUGUCAUCGAAACUCCAAAUGCAAAAACCAUGAAGGAAGAAUGUAAAAAGCGCCAUUUGUUAGAAGAUUAACAUCAACAGUGUAGUCUAGGGCUUUUAAUUAUUUCUAAAGAGUACAUCUUUUUAUUAUUGUUAUUGUUGAAAAGACUUUUUAUACGAAUAUUUUAUAUUACAUAAUUAUGCAGGUAUGUGUGUAUUUAUAUAAUAAUUUUAUUUUAUUUUAUUUUAAA